AUUGAACGCUGGAGGUAUGCUUAACACAUGCAAGUCGAACGCGAACGUUACUUCGGUAACAAGUAGAGUGGCGGACGGGUGAGUAACGCGUAGGAAUCUACCUAAGUGUGGGGGAUAACAUGGAGAAAUUCAUGCUAAUACCGCAUACGCCCUGCGGGGUAAAGAGGGCCUCUUCUUGAAAGCUCUUGCAUUUAGAUGAGCCUGCGUCGGAUUAGCUUGUUGGUGAGGUAAUGGCUCACCAAGGCGACGAUCCGUAGCUGGUCUGAGAGGAUGAUCAGCCACACUGGGACUGAGACACGGCCCAGACUCCUACGGGAGGCAGCAGUGGGGAAUAUUGGACAAUGGAGGCAACUCUGAUCCAGCAAUACCUCGUGUGUGAAGAAGGCCCUAGGGUUGUAAAGCACUUUCAAUUGGGACGAAGAUUGUGUACUUAAUACGUGCAUAAUUUGACGGUACCUUUAGAAGAAGCACCGGCUAACUCCG
RNAcentral lists this ribosomal RNA (483 nucleotides) under uncultured Gammaproteobacteria bacterium. RNAcentral describes it as "bacterial SSU rRNA". It matches the Rfam family "Bacterial small subunit ribosomal RNA", at positions 30 to 505 of the family's 1533-position model. Lineage: Bacteria; Pseudomonadati; Pseudomonadota; Gammaproteobacteria. The record is from RNAcentral.